RNAcentral lists this ribosomal RNA (735 nucleotides) under uncultured bacterium. Its description in RNAcentral is "bacterial SSU rRNA". It matches the Rfam family "Bacterial small subunit ribosomal RNA", at positions 102 to 857 of the family's 1533-position model. The record is from RNAcentral.
ACGGGUGAGUAACGCGUGGGUAACCUACCCUGUACACACGGAUAACAUACCGAAAGGUAUGCUAAUACGGGAUAAUAUAUUUGAGAGGCAUCUCUUAAAUAUCAAAGGUGAGCCAGUACAGGAUGGACCCGCGUCUGAUUAGCUAGUUGGUAAGGUAACGGCUUACCAAGGCAACGAUCAGUAGCCGACCUGAGAGGGUGAUCGGCCACAUUGGAACUGAGACACGGUCCAAACUCCUACGGGAGGCAGCAGUGGGGAAUAUUGCACAAUGGGCGAAAGCCUGAUGCAGCAACGCCGCGUGAGUGAUGAAGGCCUUCGGGUCGUAAAACUCUGUCCUCAAGGAAGAUAAUGACGGUACUUGAGGAGGAAGCCCCGGCUAACUACGUGCCAGCAGCCGCGGUAAUACGUAGGGGGCUAGCGUUAUCCGGAUUUACUGGGCGUAAAGGGUGCGUAGGCGGUCUUUCAAGUCAGGAGUGAAAGGCUACGGCUCAACCGUAGUAAGCUCUUGAAACUGGGAGACUUGAGUGCAGGAGAGGAGAGUGGAAUUCCUAGUGUAGCGGUGAAUUGCGUAGAUAUUAGGAGGAACACCAGUUGCGAAGGCGGCUCUCUGGACUGUAACUGACGCUGAGGCACGAAAGCGUGGGGAGCAAACAGGAUUAGAUACCCUGGUAGUCCACGCUGUAAACGAUGAGUACUAGGUGUCGGGGGUUACCCCCUUCGGUGCCGCAGCUAACG